AUGAAAAGAACUUUGAAAAGAGAGUCAAAAGACCUGAAACUGUUGAGAAGGAAGCGGUAGAAGUGAAUAA
This 70-nucleotide ribosomal RNA is filed under the name uncultured Symbiodinium. RNAcentral's name for it is "partial Eukaryotic large subunit ribosomal RNA". The record is from RNAcentral. Lineage: Eukaryota; Dinophyceae; Suessiales; Symbiodiniaceae.